Molecule: unclassified non-coding RNA, 240 nt
Filed under: uncultured Capnodiales
Lineage: Eukaryota; Fungi; Ascomycota; Dothideomycetes; Capnodiales
Description: sequence contains 5.8S rRNA gene, ITS2, 28S rRNA gene
Source: RNAcentral
AACGCACAUUGCGCCCUUUGGUAUUCCGAGGGGCAUGCCUGUUCGAGCGUCAUUUCACCACUCAAGCCUGGCUUGGUAUUGGGCGCCGCGGUCUGCCGCGCGCCUCAAUGUCUCCGGCUGAGCUGUCCGUCUCUAAGCGUUGUGGCAUCACGUUUCCGCUUUGGAGCACGGGGAGUUCGCGCCGUUAAACAUUUUCUUAAGGUUGACCUCGGAUCAGGUAGGGAUACCCGCUGAACUUAA